This 804-nucleotide long non-coding RNA is filed under the name Neogale vison (American mink). Its description in RNAcentral is "Neovison vison (American mink) lncRNA (ENSNVIG00000011772.1)". The record is from RNAcentral. Lineage: Eukaryota; Metazoa; Chordata; Mammalia; Carnivora; Mustelidae.
AUUUUGUUUAAGGGUCUAAACUCUCCUAAACUCCCUAACCUGAAUGUCCUUAAAACGACCUUGGGUAGAUCUUUCCAGGGCUGAUUUCUAUUAAUGUGGCUAUUUUUUUUUUCAGAUACGUUCAUGGCAAGACUUGAAGAAAUGUUAGAUUUUUGUGAGUCAUGUUAUUAGAAACAUUACUGUGCUGUUGGACACACAGAUCCAGGAAAUUUGGCAAAUCAUUCUGGAUCUCAAGGGGUGCCCUACAGCAAGCCAGCAGCAGAGAUCAGAAGGGCGCACUUUCCUUUUUAAUCUGGGACCGUGUUUUGCUUCUAGUGGCUGUUGAUGGCCCAUCUGAAAGGGCUUCACAGAGAAUCUGAAGUGACAAAGUAUUCUGGAGAAUUGUUGAGGGUUCUAUACCUAAGAGAAAUAGGGGACCCCCUAACUUCCUUCCUGAGAUGGGCUCCCUGGAUGGUACGGUCGUGUUUCAACAAGAGUGGCCAGUGGAUGAGACAAGAGUCACAUCCCAUAUCUGGAGCUGUGCCAUUUUGAGCGUAGAGAUCUUUCUCUUCCAGUCAAAGGGACUUUUUACGUCCACACUGGUAAUCAGUAGGUUCUAAUGGUUGACCUUGAAGACGCAAACAAUAAGGUCUGCAGCAGUAACUUCAUAUUUAAUUGGAAAGAGUAGACAAUCCCAAAGGACUUAGCAUAAAAGAGCUGGUUACUGGUCCAAUGUUAAGCCAUUUGCUGGGUGUCCCCCAGACCCUGUUUGGUGGAGACUGUGUAGGUAAUAAAAGGAAUAGUCACGCCUCCUCUUUGAUUUCC